GGGGGGGUUUUCUGAAUGAAAGUUGAAAAUAUGUAUUUUCCAGAUGUAAAUAAAUACAUAUUUCUGGACAUUGAAAAUACACAAUUUACAUAUUUGAAAAUAUAUAUUUUUCAGUCAUUGAUUCUACGGCCAAAAUUCAAAUGCAUAUACAUUCUCAAUGAAGUAAUCAUUAUUUCACAAUAUAAAUGUUUCAAGCCACUUAAUAUUGGAACGAGGAGCCAACUGAAGAUUGCAACAGAACAUGUAUUAUUGCUCCCAUCAAUAUCAUGCACUCAUAUCAGCUAUGAUGUUCAAAGUAGUCCACCCAACAGACCACUCCAACUACAAUAGCAUCCUCAGUAACGGUUACAGGUGUGUUGUUGAUUGUAACUUGCUCUGGAUAAGAGCAUCUGCUGAAUGCCCAAAAUGUAAAUGUAAAAACAAACUCUUGCAAAGCAUGCUGGGUAUUAUUCAAAUGAGCUCCGCCCCUAAACAAGUACCCAUUUGUUCCGUGCAGACCAGAUCCAAAUCUGAAAGAAUCAUAGACGUCUAAGCUGUAUUUCACAAGUUUGAACAUCACAGUACAGUACGGCACAGUUUAGUACAGUAGAGCAUAGCAGAGUACAGUACAGUUUAAUUCAGUAGAGUACAGAACAGUACAGUAUAGUUUAAUUCAGUAGAGUAGAGUACGGUAUAGUUUAAUUCAGUAGAGUAUAGUACAGUGCAGUAGAUAAAGGCUCAAAAAUAAAUUCUGGGGACUCUCCCAACACGAUGCAGACAUUCCAGAACAUCGCUAUUCAAAACCAAUGUUUUCAGGCAAAACCUUUGCAGUGGUUUUAGUUAAGGUAAUUAAUGGAAACUAGCCAUUUGCGAAAUGCACUCAUUAAAAAUAAGCUGUGUGAUCUCCAUCUUGUUAGCUAAAAUGUUGUUUUUAUUCAAGAGCAUAAAGAAGUGUCGUAGGUAGUUCCUCUAUGAAAAGAGUCCAUAAUUGAAACCAGACUCUAGUCACUCUGUUCCCUAGGGUCGGGUUUUCCAGACUACCCGUGUGGUACCGAUCAAGAAUCUCCUCAGGGCCGCCCAUCAAAAUUAGCCUACAUUUAGGCAAUUGUUUGUGUAUUUCACUAACAUGUUGGGGGUAAAAAUCACAGUAUAAUGCUUGUUUGAAUGUCAACCCCAAUACGUUCAUUUCAUCAUCACCAAUCAACUGCAUUAGGCUUAUGCCUAAAAAUUACUUUAACUGCCACCAGUCAUUUUUAUAUGGCUAGGUAUACCAGCUUAUCAGAACGGGAGUAAGAUUAGCAGACACUUUUUCUAAACCCAAAAAGGACAACUUUGAAAUAUUAUGCAGUGAAAACAGCCAACAAUCCAACUGAGAUUUUAGUAUCCACAUUGUGGGCCUCUUCACAUAAAUCAUGACAGAUUUGACAAAGAUUUACUAAUGAAGUGAGAGACUGGUAGGGGCCUACUGGCUGGAUGUAGUGAGAGACUGGUAGGGGCCUACUGGCUGGAUGUAGUGAGAGACUGGUAGGGGCCUACUGGCUGGAUGUAGUGAGAGACUGGUAGGGGCCUACUGGCUGGAUGUAGUGAGAGACUGGUAGGGACCUACUGGCUGGAUGUGGUGAGAGACUGGUAGGGGCCUACUGGCUGGAUGUAGUGAGAGACUGGUAGGGGCCUACUGGCUGGAUGUAGUGAGAGACUGGUAGGGGCCUACUGGCUGGAUGUAGUGAGAGACUGGUAGGGACCUACUGGCUGGAUGUGGUGAGAGACUGGUAGGAGCCUACUGGCUGGAUGUAGUGAGAGACUGGUAGGGGCCUACUGGCUGGAUGUGGUGAGAGACUGGUAGGGGCCUACUGGCUGGAUGUAGUGAGAGACUGGUAGGGGCCUACUGGCUGGAUGUAGUGAGACACUGGUAGGGCCUACUGGCUGGAUUUACUAGUCUCAGAAACCCAGACAUAGGAGCAAGAGCACGAGGUCUUGGGAGGCUGUCAGAUUCUCGUAGACAUGCCGAAAUGGGAAGACAUUUUUCUGGUGGAGGUUUCUACCUGAAACCUGUUCAGCAAGGUUGCAGAAGGUUCAGAUAGAAAAUCUAGUCUUUGUGAUGUGGUGUAGGUGGUCUGUGUGUGUUGUGGUGUAGGUCUGUGUGUGUUGUGGUGUAGGUGGUCUGUGUGUGUUGUGGUGUAGGUGGUCUGUGUGUGUUGUGGUGUAGGUGGUCUGUGUGUGUUGUGGUGUAGGUGGUCUGUGUGUGUUGUGGUGUAGGUGGUCUGUGUGUGUUGUGGUGUAGGUCUGUGUGUGUGUGUUGUGGUGUAGGUGUAGGUAGUCUGUGUGUAUUGUGGUGUAGGUGGUCUGUGUGUGUUCUAGUGUAGGUGGGUCUGUGUGUGUUGUGGUGUAGGUGUGUGUUGUGGUGUAGGUAGUCUGUGUGUGUUGUGGUGUAGGUCGUCUGUGUGUGUUGUGGGGUAGGUGGUGUGUGUGUUGUGGGGUAGGUGGUCUGUGUGUGUUGUGGGGUAGGUGGUGUGUGUGUUGUGAGGUAGGUGGUCUGUGUGUGUUGUGGGGUAGGUGGUCUGUGUGUGUGUGUGUGUGUGUGUGUGUGUGUGUGUGUGUGUGUGUGUGUGUGUGUGUGUGUGUGUGUGUGUGUGUGUUGUGUAGGUGGUGUGUGUAGGUGGUGUGUGUGUGUGUGUGUGUUGUGGUGUAGGUGGUGUGUGUGUGUUGUGGUGUAGGUGGUAUGUGUGUGUGUUGUGGUGUAGGUGGCUGUGUGUGUGGUGGUGUAGGUGGUCUGUGUGUGUGUUGUGGUGUAGGUGGCUGUGUGUGUGGUGGUGUAGGUGGUCUGUGUGUGUGUGUUGUGUAGGUGGUGUGUAUUGUGGUGUGUGUGUUUUCCCCCCAUUCUGUUUGUUCAGUAUAUUUGACAGUAUACAUUACAUUUUGUUCUAUACAGUAUGUUUCGUUUAGUUUAUUUAUACAUAGGUCUGUUACUCGAUUAAAAAAUGUGUUGAUUAUUAUUAUUUUUAGGUUAGUUGAGUAGUCUGUAAAUGUUUAUCUGGUCUCCAUCCCUGUGUAGGUAUAUUUACAUUAUAAACAGCCUGGAGGUGGCAAUAGGCUCUAUAGGCUCUAUGUGUGUAUUGGGAAGAGCCAACAGUGGAAGAGCCAACAGUGGAAGAGCCAACAGUGGAAGAGCCAACAGUGCCAGUCUUGGUAGAUUCAGGUCGCUUUCCCCUGCUCAGAUGUUGCACGCAUCAACCAAUGCUUACAUACAACAUCAUCGACCGUGUCAUCGACUGACUGAAUGCUAGAACAUAUGAUGUGGUUAGCUGAUAGGUAAAAAACACCUAUCCAGUCCUGAUAAGAUCUGGCAAGAGUCAGCAACGCCUGGGCAGAGGAAUGUGUCUGCUAUGCAUGAUGACGUCAUAUCCCUACAACGAGAGGGAGGCCGACACAUUGACAGUACUAUUCAUAGACAAUAGGUGGCAGUAUAGUAUCAUAGAUCCUGCUUGUACUAAAGCUUCAAUGAGAACCUUUCCUUCUCUAGGCUCUACUCUCCAGGCCCUUUACUCUUUUCUAUUUUUGCCAAUUGCCUGCCACUGGCAUUAAACAAAGCAUGUGUGUCCAUGUAUGCUGAUGAUUCAACCAUAUACGCUAUGCGUCAGCAACCACAGCUAAUGAAGACACUGAAACCUUUAGCAAAGAGUUGCAGUCUGUUUUGGAAUGGGUGGCCAGUAAUAAACUGGUCCUGAACAUCUCUAAAACUAAGAGCAUUGUAUUUGGUAAAAAUCAUUCCUUAAGUUCUAGACAGCUGAAUCUGGUAAUGAACGGUGUGGCUGUUGAACAAGUUGAGGAGGAUAAAUUACUUGGCGAUACCUUUUGAUUGUAAACUGUCAUGGUCAAAAUAUAUAGAUUCAAUGGUUGUAAAGAUGGGGAGAGGUCUGUCCGUAAUAAAGAGAUACUCAGCUUUUUUGACACCACACUCCAGAAAGCAAGUUCUGCAGGAAUAUAGUUUUAUCUUAUCUUAAGGUAACAUAACUAAAUGACUAUCACACCGUAGCACUCACUUCUGUCAUCAUGAAGUGCUUUGAGAGACUUGUCAAGGAUCAUAUCACCUCCACCCUACCUGAUACCCUAGAGCCACUUCAAUUUGGGUACCGCCCAAAUAGGUCCACAGACGAUGCAAUCGCCAUCACACUGCACAUGGCCCUAUCCCACCUGGACAAGAGGAAUACCUAUGUAAGAAUGCUGUUCAUUGACUACAGCUCAGCAUUCAAAACCAUAGUGCCCUCCAAGCUCAUCAUUAAGCUUGAGGCCUUGGGUCUCAACCCCGCCCUGUGCAAUUGGGCCCUGGACUUCUUGACGGGCCGCCCCCAGGUGGUGAAGGUAGGAAACAACAUCUCCACUUCGCUGAUCCUCAACACUGGGGCUCCACAAGGGGGCUUGCUCAGCCCCCUCUUGUACUCCCUGUUCACCCAUGAC
RNAcentral lists this long non-coding RNA (4434 nucleotides) under Salmo salar (Atlantic salmon). Its description in RNAcentral is "lncRNA (ENSSSAG00000116785.1)". Lineage: Eukaryota; Metazoa; Chordata; Actinopteri; Salmoniformes; Salmonidae. The record is from RNAcentral.